RNAcentral lists this long non-coding RNA (13504 nucleotides) under Panax ginseng (ginseng). Its description in RNAcentral is "long non-coding RNA (PGIN_LNC008858)". Lineage: Eukaryota; Viridiplantae; Streptophyta; Magnoliopsida; Apiales; Araliaceae. The record is from RNAcentral.
UGACGGAGGGGAACAUAAUUACAUUAGAACUUGUCAUGUUCAUGCAGAUGAAGCCUAGUGCAAUCCUGAAUGGAUCUUCUCAAGAGAAGUAUUCUUUUGUUUAUGCUGGGUGUUGAAAGAUAUGCCCUUCUGUGGCGUGUCCCAAUUUUACAUAUUGCAGUUGACUGGUGGAAGCAGCAGGUGUUCCAUUUUUCAGGUAUGCUUCACAUUUUUGACUUGGGGAUUAAAUUCUAAAUGAUCGCAAUAGGAAUUCAUACUUUUCUCUUAAACACUGAAGUCAUUAUAUCAUAAUAAUCUUAUAUUUUCUCUUUAUAUAUGAUUAUCAGUGCAGUGUUUAUAAAUCGGAGUUAAUAUUCUUGAUGUGCCGCAGCGCCAGAGUUAAUUUCUCACUUAUUUCCACUAGAUGUUUAAAACCUAGUGUGGAAUCUCCCUUAGUCCCCUCAAGAUAACCACCAAUUAGGUGUCACACUGAUUCUAGAAUACUAUGAACUUGUCAAAUCACCUGCUUCUUGUCACGAAUUAGAAUAAUGAAAUUAUUUGAACUGGGAACAUUGUUUGCACGUAAUUACUUAAAAUUGAUGAAAUGCUUGAGAUACUUUUUCACCUGCGCGAAACGUACAAGUUAAAGAAUUAAGAAUUCAUUAACAGGGGACCAUUCCACCUCUUUCAGUUCCCUAUUAUCUUAGAAUAUUGUUUUAUUUCCUAGACCAAAAUUGUCCUUAAUUUGUUGCUUGUCUUGGUUGGAGUUUGGACUUGGGCCAUGUUUCUUUAAGGUAGACCAUUUUUGCAGCUUUCUGCUAGCAAAUAGCCCAUUUCUAAGCUGAUCCAACAGAAUAGUAGAAAUGCCAGAAACUCCUCAAACAUAAUGCAUACUAGACUAGGAAGAAAGCAAAUUUACAUUUACAUAUAACAGUACUUCAUUUAAUCAUAAUUUAAUUAUCAAGUGAUCAACAUGCCCUUUUACUCAAGAGUUGAGACAGUUAACCAAUUAACAAGUUCUGGGCACCUUUAGAAGAGUGCUUGAAUGGAGCCUGGUUUUAAUUGAUUAAACUAACCGAUUGAAAUCUAGUGUAACAUUUGUUCAAACAUAUAGAGAUUUUAAGGUCAGGUGGGAGAGGUCUGGGCUUAAUAAAGUAGCCCAAAGUUUUGUAUGGUACUUUAUUUCGGAUGUGAGUGAAACAAAAAUCUCAUAUUAAUUCAUUGUCCUAUAAUUGAGCUCUAUGGACCUCAGGUGGUCCAUUAUGCACUGGAUAUGAAAAUUUUCACUUUGACUUUAUUCAAAUACAAUCUUUAUUUUGUUUUCUUUUGGGAGGCUCAAACUCUCUUUUCUUUUCUUUUUUCUGACACCUAUUGAAUGACGUUUCCCAACUUAAAUGACACAAGUCUUGGUCCACACCCCCCAGUGUCACUGUUUUUAUUGGAUGAUUUAGUCAUCCCUAACCCCAAUUCAAAGAAACUUACACAUUUUUAUAACUGCUUAGGCUAAUGUUUAAUUCUCAACUCCUACAUAAUGCGCUCCCCACCUUUGCUGGAUUUUAUUUCCUGUCUCUGCCAACUUUAGUUAUGGAAGAAUAAAAAAGAAAAAAAUGGUUCCCCUUAGAUUAAUAAGAUGUCAAAUACUCUGUCUCCUCCAUUUGGAAGCAAUCAAAUCUUUUGAAAAGCAGAGACCCUUUUGUGCGUGGGUGAGUCCACAAGUCUAGUUGAUGUCUGCUACUGCGGUCCCAUAUGUCUGCCAAAUAGGAUGCAUGAAGUGAUAGGUAGAAAGGUGCCUCUCAUACUACAGGCUUCUGAUCCAUAUAACAACAAUCUUUUCCAAAUACAAACUUAGAUUGCGAUGCCAAAAGGACACUGUUAUAGGAAGAAUCUUAGGCCAAGUUUAGUAGAAUUACUACUCCACCUUCUUCAUCCUUUUGCUGAUCCAUCUUGUCAUGAUUUUAACAGUUUUAUGGCUUUAUCUUUUCACUCAAAGCAACAUUACCCUACCAAAUUACCAUUGUUUGGAUUAGAAACUACUUGUAUGCUGUCUCCUGUGUUUUCCAUCAAAUUGAAAGACUAACCUAAUGUAUUUUUAGUUUUCUAAAGGAUUCAUUAUUUUGUCUGCUUCUCCCUUGUCUUGUAAUCAAACAUCCAAGCAUAUCUCUAAAUUUACUGCUGCUAUUGUAUCUUGAUCCAGGACCAUGGUAUUGUUCAGAUCAUCUAGAUGAACAAAUACAUUGUUCCUUUAGAAUACCAAAAUUUAGGUAGUUUAGCACAAUAGUUACUACAGUCAAGGAAGAAAUUAGUAAUUGGAGUCUCAAUCUAAAGUUUUUUUUAGGGGUACAUAAAAAUUUUAAAACUGAAACUCAAACCACAAAUUUUAAAAAAAGAAUCAUUACAAAUCUUAACUACUCUUGAUAACUACCAUCCAGCAAACUAAGACUAUCCUAGUGGUCUUUUUCCAUGCUAAGUGCAUGACAACUAAUCUCUUGGAGGGAAACUUUCCAUAAUCUGUCUCUCAGAUUAAAUUCUGCUAUUCUCUAUGCCCAUAAUUGUAAGACAGCUUUCUAAUAAAGCUGAACUAAAUAACAAAAAGGCUAAAACUAUAUCUUGACUUCUUGAGCGAUCCCAAAGCUUAACUAGAAAUUUAUAAUUUCAUAUUUGGGAAUAGCAUUCAGUAAAAAAUGUGGCAAUUAGGAUAAUAUCUAAUCACAAAAUUCUGAGUACUGCUCCUCUCUCACGCUAUGUACAAGGUUGUUUUUUAGGCUCAAUUAGUCGUUAAAAUCAGAACUCACUGAAACCAAAAAUUAAAAUAUCUUGACUUUCAACAACAGUAGGCAGUCACAUUCUAUCCACAUCUCUGUUCUCUCAUGUCCAAGAAAAGAAAAACAUUAAUUCCACAUCCAGUGGGGAAUACUGCAAAAAUAAGCAAACUGUUCCUGUAUCGAAAAGUGACGGGAUGCAAUUCCAUUGUAGUAAUGAUGUAAUUGCUGCUCAAAAAUGUAAAGAACUAAUGAAAUUGUAUAUGUAAUGAGAUUUUUUUUUGAUAAGUAAAUACAGUAAAUAACACACUUACAUUAAAACACUGGUUUCCAAAAAUUGGCAAACAGUAUUUUUAUUAUCAUAGGUCUUCAGACAAAUUUCUACAAUUGGAAAUCUACAUCUCAUACAUGCAUUGUGGUGCUUAAUUGGUAUCUGUCUUUUUAGGGGAAUAUCAUAAAGUUCCCUAGUUAGCAAUUCUACUGAAUUGUCUAUAUUCUUCCUGAAACAUUUUUCCUUGGGAUUGCCUCCUGGAAAUUCGAAAUAGUUCAUUCAUUUACAUGAACUCACGAGUGCAAGGAUGACUUGAAUCCACUCGUUUCCCUUUUCCUAACUACUAUUUUCCAUUUAAAAACACUAGAAAAUGCUAUUAUAGAUGCAAAGACAGAUCCAUAGCUUGCAGUACUGUUGUUUAAAACACAUUCCCUCCCCUUCCUUUUCUUCCUGUUUCUCGCAAGUAUAGUCUCUAUACAGUGAAAUGUAAAAGACAUACGAAGAGAAGUAUAAUAAGAAAAAGCUUAUGGCCGAUCUUUUCUUAAUGGAAAAUCUCUCUCUCUCUCUCUCUCUCUAUAUAUAUAUAUAUAUAUAUAUAUAUAUAUAUUAACUUGAUAUUGGAUGUGUUAAUCUCAUAUGUUCCUACCAUAUGAUAUUGAGAUAGUUCCAAAAAAGGUCCAGCUGUUGGUAACAUUGAUGAAUUUCAUUGGAAGUCUUGCACAUGUUUUGCAUUAGUUCGGUAUAAAGAAACUUGAUAAAAGGAAAGUGAUCACUGCCUCAUAUGUUGCUGUAGAUACAGAUUUUGGUUAAAUUUUCUUUAGGCAUUUUAACCAAACACCAUUGGAGGGAAUGCUUGUAAAUCUUUUGCGAAUAUAGUAUUUAAUUCUGGAUUUUUGGUCAAAGUAGGCGUGGUUUUAGGUGCGAGAAGAGUGGGUUUAAUGCUGUAGCACUAGUGAAAAAUAAAACACUGUAGUAGUUGACAGAUUAGGGUGUAGCGAUAGAUGAUUUGGACAUGUAAUUAUACCUACAAUUAAUAUGCCAGGAAGAGAGGUUUCAAGAAGCAAUAACUUGAAAUUACAUAUCUCAAGUAAGGUAAGAUUAUCUUUUUCAUGAAAACGAAAGGAAGAACAUAAGCUGAAGGAUCACAUGGUUAACAAAUUCAUCUGAGCUCUUUAUCCUGAUAAUAGCAAAAGCUACCGACAAAGUCUUUUGUCCUCAGUUAAUGGAUGGUCUUUUUUCUUUAGGGAGUGAACCAAUAUCAUGAAAGCUUUUAGGAUAUGGAUUUGAGCCUCCUUUUUGUAGUGGUGUCUCUAGAUAAUUGUAGUACAGUACUGCAAAAUCUGAUAUUGACUGUUUUGUAUCGCUACUGGUAUAUUUGUCAAGAUAAAUAUUAGUGUAGCUUCAGUAAGGUUAGAAAUUAUUGUCCGAUAUAUUUUGAAGUUUCAUUUGAUUAUAAUAGUAUUGUUUAAAAAGUUGGCUCAGAAAGUCAGAAUUACUUCUUCUUUUUUGAGUAUUAUCAGUCAGCUUAAUCUGCAUAUGAAGCUUAUUAUCUAGUGUCUACAUUGGGAUGGGUUAAUAAAGUCUUUACUAUAUGAUAUAUAUUUGUUAUAGCUGUACAUGCCUCAAGCCUCAUAUCGGGAUAUGGUAAAGGUUCAUUUCUUUAUUAAAACUUUGAUAACUGCAUGAUUUGGACAAGCAAGAUGAAAGAUGUUAAAAGAGUUUUGGAGUUGACUACAAUUUCUUGGGGCUCUAAGCUGAUUGAUUAUCUCCCAUCUUUAUUCCGCUAACAAAACCUAUCUAAUUUGAUGGAGACGAUUAAGGUUAUAUUUGUUUGCAAGGAUUAUACUUGGGAUAUAACUAUUAAUUUCAAGUGUCUUGUUUGUUUUCAAAUUUGAACUUGGGACUAUUAGUCUCGGAUUAUAAAAUGACUUAAUAUUUUUGACAUUAUAAUUAUAUUUCCGGAAUUAUAAUCCUAUGAUUAAUUAGAUUUGGCAAAAAAUAGGUUUGUAUUGGUUUUGGUUACAUAAAAUAGGUUUGAGUUAAUUUUUGGAACCAAAACUAUAUUACCUAUAUUUAAUAUUGGUUAUGUGGUUUGAAUUUAAAUGGUAAUGGGUAGAAUUCAGGUCAACCUAUUUUUCAAAUUAUAGUUUCACUAAAAUCUUAAUUUCUUUUAUACUAAAAGAGUCUUAUUUUAAUUUUUUAGACCCAAGUUUGAAAUUAAAAAUUUUAAUUGAUGGGGGUGAGGGUGAGGGCGAAUAAAAAUAUAAAUAAGUGAAAUUCACAUAUAUUCAUGUCCAAUUUUCAUUUGUUAGAAUAUUGACAGAUUUGGAAGGAAAUUGAAGAGAGGAUCUAGCAUGUUAGUUACAAAUCAUGUCUCACAUCACUAAUCCUAUGAAAUAACAAAUUUAACCACUUGGCAUGCACUCAACAUUUCCGUUUUUAUUCUCUUAAAUUAAAGUUAAAACAAUUCAAUAUAAUUCAUCCUCAAAAUAUUCUAGACUAGUCAUUACUUGAAUAUAAAUUAUACUCAUUCUGUUUCAAUAUAUAUAUAUAUAUGAUUAAGUUUGAUUUUUUUAAAUUAAUUGAAAAUAUUUUAAAUUGAUGAUGUGAUUCAUAAACUUAUUGAAAUUAGCUAAUUUAGAAUGUUUGCAAUUUUAUAAAUGUAUUGCAUAAAAUUAAAUUAAUUUAUAUAUAAGUAUUGAAUUUAAAAAUAUUUUAAAUUAAAUUCAAAAAAUAAUAUUCAUCUUAUAAUUAUAUAACAUAAAUUUUUAGUUUUGAAACAUCUCAAAAAUGUAUGAGUGGAGCAUGUCCCUUUCUUGCAUGUGCCAUUUAUGAUUUGAGGAUUUUAUACUUGUCCAGCUUGCAAAACUUGAUGCNNNNNNNNNNNNNNNNNNNNNNNNNNNNNNNNNNNNNNNNNNNNNNNNNNNNNNNNNNNNNNNNNNNNNNNNNNNNNNNNNNNNNNNNNNNNNNNNNNNNAAUUCGUUUGGUCGUGGAAUAUUCUUACUGUCGGGGAAUAUUCGUAUGACGGCACAGCCUUGUGUGGGCCCUAUAACGGAAAGCGAUUGGAUGAAUAAAACGACAAAUAUAAGUUUAUAAAUAACGGCGUAGUUGGUACCGUUAAUACUGUUAAAAUAUUCGGUGGUUAAAACACAGUAGCACACGGUAUUACACCAAUUAUUGAUUCUUACGUAAGAAGACACUACUUAAUAAUUGUUACAGUAGUUACUGUUCAAUAUUUUAUUUUAUUGAUUCAAUAAUUGCUACGUUGAUAUUUUAUAUUAUUGUUGUUUCAAUAAUUGUCAUUACACAGUAUUUUCAUUAUCAGAUCAAUAAUUUAUAUUAUUUGAAUAAUAUUAUUAGAUAACAUUAUUGGCAAUGUCUAGAAAAUUCUGUCUAAGGAGAUGUUUGGUCACCUAAUUGCGCGCCAGUAAGGAGAAAUCUUUAUUGGAAAAAGCCCCCUCUUUCCUGGGAACAGCCUGGUUGCCAGUAUUGUGAUUCUGUAAUAUUAUUUGUGAAUAAUUAAUUAUUGAUUUAUAUGAUAAGGAAAAUAUUCAUUUUAUAUGGAUAUAGAUGGAGAAAUUUUUUAAUGUAACAAUUGUUUAAAAUUGAUAUUUUAUCUUUUCGAUAAAAUAAUUCAUUUAAAUAAUUUUUUUGCUUUGGUGUUCUAAGCAUUUUUCUAUAAAUAGGGUGCUUCGGUAUGAAGAGUCUCUGUUUCAGCUCUUUGGAGCUUCCUUUUCAGAGCUAAAACUUCCUUGUUCACCACUUUCAUGGCGUAAUAACAGCUCUCGUCGCUCUGGAGACUGCAGAGGUACACUUUUUCGAUGUCGCCGCUACCAAUCUGGCGGACGAGGCUAAAGUCUCGGAAUCCGAGGUGACUAUCGAUCUACUGUAAGAGAGCGAGAGAUAGAGAGAGAGAGAUAAAGGAGGGGGAAGAGGAGGAGAUCCGUGUUUAAGCUCAAGAGAAGAAAGUAGAUUCAUGUUCAAGAGAGAAGAAAGUAGAUCCGUGUUCAAGAGAGAAGAAAGAGAUAGGGUUCACUAUCGUCCUUCUUCUAAUUUCAAAAUUUAAGCUCUGUGUUUUAUUUUUGCUCCGUGUUUUUGUAAAUAGAUAAUGUUUUGUUUUUAAAAAUGUUAUCUAUUUAAAACCAAAAAUUACCCUUAUAAAAUACAUAACGUUUUUUCAUAUGUAUCUACAACGUUUUAUUAAAAAGUUAUAAAAAAAAAUACCACAACGUUUUUAUAAAAAACGUUAUCUUUUAAGCGUUGUCUAUUUACUAUUUUGUAGUAGUGUGCCCUUGAUCCCGCUGAUUACCUGUUGGGAGAAAAAUACAACAUGAGCUAAAUGUCUAGUACGGAUAUAGAAUACAAAUAAUGAACUGAAAUACCUAACUCAAUUUAAUGAACUGAGCUGAAACGAACAAAACUAACACAACGAAAUAAUAGGCUGAAUCAAAUGGCAUGGUGUUAUUUCAUAUCGAGCUAAAAAAACAAAAAUAUUCCUUGCCACACAGACAAGUCAAAUAAUGCCACACAAGCAAGUCAAAUAAUGUCACAUAGGCAAGUAACACACAUUGGAUCGUGAAUCUAAUACAUGUAAAAUCGAAAGGCGUGUUUGGCAUAAAUAUCACCAAUCCGCAGAACAAAACAGAAAAAUUAGGGUCGACCUAUACGCCUCUCACAACAAAAUAUCAAAUGGUCAACUCCUAUCGGAGCACAAAACAAAGACGUCGUGAACUGAUCACAUCGCCACGGAAGGUGUCAUGCCUCGAUGCCAAGAGUACACGCAUGUGGUACCCUUAAAGGUGGUUAUAACUCAGGUAUACCAUACGGUACAUUCUAACAAAAUAUCAUGUCACAACAUAUACGACACAAUAUCAACACAAAGGGGGUUCAUGUACAUGUUAAACUAAAACGAAUCAUCGAUACAAAGUCUCCAAAAAAAUAUAUUAACAUGCACAUUACUACGAAUAUCAAAUUAAAUUUUAAACAUGAUGCAAUAGUCUAAAGAGUACAAAUAUGAGUUUCAAUAUCAACACCAAAACAAAACUAUCAUAAUAAAUUGACAAAAUAUAAUUAUGAGUGACAAUACUAAUUUUUGAAACGAAUAAUUCGAACAAAUUAAAAUCAAAAGAGUCGUGCUGAAAGAAUACGAAAUCUGUACAUGUAAUAAGCAAUGUAAUAUUCAAAAUUUAAAUAAGACUAUCCUAAUCUCCUUCAAUUCGAUCUAAUAAAAUAAAAUAAAAUUUUAUUACAAAUCUAGUCAUUAAUAACAUAAUACUGAUAAAUUUAUUAUUAUAUAAAAUUUAUAAAUUUAACAGCAGAAUUAAUUAGUUUGAAUUAAUAUACAAAAUCUCAAUACAAUUUAUUGGUUUAACAGUACACUUAAUUACCUACUAAAAUAUUUCAUAUAUAUAUAUAUAUAUAGACAGAAUCCAGUAAGGACUUUUGGAUUUUGUUAAAAUGCGGACCUUUUUUUUUAAAACAACUAAAUUUUUUUUAAUAUUUUAUGGAACUGGAAUUUUUUCAUAAUACAGUGCUUUGGGUGUGAUUUGGAUACAUAUAACAAAACAUGUCAGACAUGUUUUGUUAUAUGUAUCCAAAUCACACCCAAAGCACUGUAUUAUGAAAAAAUUCUAGUUCCAUAAAAUAUUAAUUUUUUUUAGUUGUUUAAAAAAAAAUUAAAAAAAAAGUCUGGACCGUACUAAAUUGCGAAAGUCCGGACUGGAACCGGACCCUAUAUAUAUAUAUAUAUAUAUAUAUAUAUAUAUAUAUAUAUAUAUAUUGAAGGGAACUAUAUAUUAGUCCCCUUCAGUUGAGGGAUCCCUCAAAUAACACUAUUUGAGGGAUGGGCCGCUCUCAACCGUUAGAUUUAUUUUAAUUACUAUAUGUGGCUGAAAAAACCUAAGGCACGCCAGAAGGGAAAAGACGAACGCGGAAGGGAAAAGAGGAAGAGUCGCAAAAGGGAAAAGAGGAACGCAGAAAGAAAAAGAGGAAGAGUCUCGUGCAAGCUUAAGAGAAGAUCAACUCUUUCGAGAUGAAGAGAUGACCCACCAUUUUCACAAUUUCCAACUCAGCUUGCAAGAUUUCAAAUUUCUAUAUGUUAAAAAUUCGUGUGACUUAUUAUUCUGGUAUCUGACAUGGUUUUUUUUAAAUCGAUUUGAAGAUUUCUGCAAAAAGUUAAAAUUACAUCUCCAAAUUUGAUAUGGGUUCAUGUGAUUUACUCAUUAUUGUUGUUGUGGUGGUGUUAUCUGAGUUUUAAAUAUGGGUUUUAAAAUUGAUUGCAACCAUCAAACAUUUAAUGGGUAAUUUUUUAUUUCACAUAUAAUGAUGAAUUCUAGCUAUAAGUUUUAAUGGGCAAUUCUUGAUUUAAUCAAAAUUCUGAUCCUGCACUUUUUUGCACUUCAAAGAGUUUGUGCACAAAUAGAAAAUAUAGAUUUUUAACUUACAUAAUAUAUUUGUGUUGAUUCUUGUGAAAUUCUUUACAGAUUGUGUUGUACAGAAUACUACUAAAAUUCAAACACACUAGAUAUGUGUACUGAAAUUCCAGACCAAUAAGUAUUUCAAAAGACAAAAGUGAACCUAACCUGCAGUGACACUAAACUUCUGAAAUAUAAUUACAGACAUACCCACAAGUUGCUGAAAAUCUAGACAAAACAAAUGUACAUAUCAAAAGAGGAGAAAAGGAUGUGCACAUAUAGAUUUUCACUUACAUAAUAUAUUUGCGGUAGAGUAGAUUUUCUUGUCUUUUUUUUCUUUUCUUAAUCUAGUCUUUUGGAUUAAGGGGAAAAAAGACAAGAAAACAGAAUAUCAUACAUAUAAUAUAUUUUUUAUCUACUCUUAAUUGAUAUUUGAGAAGAAAAAAAAUAGAAUGUCAUAUAUGCCCAUGUUUUGUGAUUAAAGUGCACCUGUGCAUGUUCUAUGGUUAAACAGAUUCGUCUCACCUGUCAUUCAAUUAUGAAAGCUAAUAAUGACAUAUUAGAUGUGACGCCCCCAAAAUAGGUAUACAACACCCAUUCUGAGUCGUCAAAAUACAUGGUACAGAAAUAACUACAACUUUAUUAAUACAAUUAUCGUGCAAAAUACGACAACACAUAAAUUGUGAGUUUAAAUACAAAUAUUGUCAUCUAGACAAUAUCCACACUCAAAUAAGUCCUCAUUACAAUUAUUAAUACACUAUUUUACAAAAUAGUGAGGAUUACUAAAACAACUUCUAGAACCAUCAUUCCACACCCGACUAGUACUCGCUACAUUCUCGCCUCUUGAAAAUAAAAAUGGAACAAAAGGAAAAGGGUGAGCUCAACUAGCCCAGUAAAGAAUAUUAUGACUAAGAUAAUAUAGAACAAAUUAUCGUUAGUCUUCAACAGGGAAAAAUUUGAUAAAAUAUAAUAGACAACAAGUUCAGAUCAAAGUACCAAAAUACUCACAAGAAUACGCUCGAUAAUAUAGAGAGAGAAAGAGAGACAAAACUUGUUUCUGGUGUGAUUUUCAAUUCUAACCUAAGCACCCUAUUUAUAGGAAAUUGCUUAGAACACCAAAGUAGAAAAUUUAAUAAAAUAUUAAUACUAUUUAUUUAAAUUCCUAUGCCCAUCUUGAAUAACUAAAUUCAGCCAUUUCAAAAACCAGUGGGGCCCACCAAACAUAUCAAAAAUGUUUUUCUUUUAAAAAAAAUUUAAAACUUUAAAAAAACAAUUAUUCCGGAACUUCAGAAUUUCAAUAAUUCAUAAUAAAUAGCCCUUUUAUCAAAAAAAUUCAAAUCUUAAGUCCAUUCUAUAGGAAAUUUAAUUCUCUACAACUUUACAGAAGAAAGUUUUUCCAAAUUUCAAACAAAAAUUGACCAAAAUCCAUAUACGGACGAUUUUACAGGCUAUAAUCAAAUUUCAGUCAAGAAAUGGGCCCACCGACAUGUUUAACAUGUUUUUAACUUUUAUUGUAACAAAAAUACUCUUCCUCCUCAUUUAUUCAUAUAUCCCACAUUCACUGUAAAAAUAUCACCAUUAUUAUAUUAUUAAAAUAUAAUAAUAUAUUUAAAUUAAUUAUUUUAUCAGAAAAGAUAAAAUAUCAAUUUUUCAACAAUUGUCACAUUAAAAAUUUCUCCAUCUAUAUCCACAUAAAAUGAAUAUUUUUCUUAUCAUAUAAAUUAAUAAUUAAUUAUUCACAAAUAAUAUUAUAGAAUCACAAUAUCGACAACCAGGCCGUUUCCAGGAAAGAGGGGGCUUUCCAAUAAGGAUUUCUCCUUACUGGCGCGUGUAAGACCCCAACUUUUAUGAAUAAAAAUUAAUUUCUCUCAAAAUAUAUUUUUGAAUAUUAUGGUGUGGAUAUGAUAUAAUGUUAUACUUGUGGGUAAUAUUUAUAAAUUUUGCAAAGUAAGUAAGUGGUUAUAUAAUAUUCGAUUGGUCGGGGAAUAUUCGUUUGAACAGGGAAUAUUCGUACGACGGCACAAUCAUUGGUGGACCCCACAACGGAAGUAUUGUCGUAGUAAGAAAACGACAGAAUUAUCUUGUUAUAAAAAUAACGGCGGAAGUGUUACCGUUAAAACUGUUGAACUACCCGGUAGUAAAAGUACAAUAAUACGCGUGGUUGCAUAGUAGCACACGAUAUUUGUUAUUGAUGUUUACGUGAGAAGUCACUCAGUUAUACUCAAUUAUUGCUACAGUAAUUGUUGCAUUAUAUCUCUCAUAUUAUUGAUUCGAUUAUUGUCAUAGUAUCAUCUGCAUUAUAUGAUAUAUUAUUAAAUCAAUAAUUGAGACGACAAAGUUAUUCAUAUUAUUAAAUUGCAAUAUUUACAAUGUCUAGAAGUUCUGCCCAGGAGAGGUUUGGUCACCUAAUUGCGCGCCAAUAGGGAGAAAUCCUUAUUGGAAAGCCCCCUCUUUCCUGGGAACGACCUGGUUAUUAAAUAUUGUGAGUUAUAAUAUUAAUGAUGAAUAAGUUUGUGUUGAUUAAAGAUGAAUUUGAUAGUUCUAUUGUGUUGGGAUUAUUAGUGUUAGUGGUAAUCGACAUCUAUUCCGAUGAUAAUUGAUGUCUGGGGGUUAUAUUGAUAAAUCGGGGAAUUUAUCGGAUAAAUGAGCAAUUAAUUGCUACUAAUUCACAUGCUUAUAUAACUAUUUGUUCACAUGUGUGUACUAUUGAAUCACAUUCUUGUACUAUUAGGGGAGUUGGUGCAAGAUUGAUAAUACUUGCAUGACUAAGUUAAAAAUGGAGGUAUAGAUGGAGGUACUAUACUGUAAUUCGUAUUUUCACAUGAUUAUAACUAUUGAUUCACAUGAUUGAACUAUUGAUUCACAUUAUUUACUAUUAGGGGAGGUGGUGCAAGUUUGAUAAUACUUGCAGGACUAAAUUAAAAAUGAAAGAAAAGUUGGAGGUAUUGUACUGUAAUUUUUCGAGCCCCAAAACGUGCAAUUAUCGAAACUAUAUUUUUCUAUAAAUAGAAGCUCAUUCUUCCUUCAUUUCUCACCAAUUCACUAAAGCUAUAGAGCAAUUAUUAUAGAGAGAAAUUAUAGAGAGAAGCCUGCUACGUCACUAUUCUAGUAUCCAGUUUCUUCUGAGGUAAGGGGUAUUAUUUCUUUUGUAUUCAUGAAGAGAGCUAUUGUUAUUCCAUCCCUUAUUAUUCUAUUGGAAUAACCUAUUUAUGCGAAGUGCUGCAUACAUGGUGAAAUUCUCCUGUUAUUCUAUUCUUCAUUAUUAUGUUGGAAUAACCUGUUUAUGCGAAGUACCGCAUACAUGGUGAAAUUCUUCUAUUAUUCCAUUCUUUAUUACUCUGUCGGAAUAUCAUGUCUGUGCGUUUACGCCCGACCUGGUUCCAUCAUUUAUUAUUCUGUCGGAAUAUCCUGUCUGUGCGUUUACGCCGGACCUGGUUCCAUUAUUUAUUAUUCUGUCAAAAUAUCCUGUCAGUGCGUUUACGCAUGACUUGGUUCCAUUCUUUAUUAUUCUGUUGGAAUAACUUGUUUGUGCGGUCUAUCGCAUGCAUGAUGAUUUCUUCUAUUAUUCCAUUCUUUAUCAUUCUGUUGGAAUAACCUGUCUAUGUGGAUUAUCACAUGCAUGGUGAAUGAACCUUUGUAUUCAUUCCUCAGUAGCCAGUUGUAGUGCAUUGAUGGACAAUUUUUGGUAUGAAUAUGACCAGGGAUUAUUCGGUAUAGUCAUGACCAUGGAUGAUUUAAUGAAUAUCCUUGGCCCGUAGUGCAGGGAUGACUCGAUGAUGUGGUUUAUUUGUUAAGCUGAGUCUCGGCGAUAAAAAUUGAUGAAAACUUUUUAAAUGAUAGAAGAUAAUAGAUUUUAUUCUCUACUUGACUCUUCUAAUGGAUUGUUUGUUCCGCUGCAGUUAAACUUGAUGUCUAUUAUAUUUUAUCAGUUUAACAUUGUUGAAGACUAAUGAUAAUUUAUUCUGCAUUAUCUUAAUCACGAUAUUUCUUACUGGGCUAGUUAAGCUCACCAUUUUCUUUCACUGUUCUCUUCAGGAAAUGAGAAUAUAGCUGGGACGAGUCGAGGAACGGAGUGACGGUCC